GAUCAAAUUCCGUUGUUCUAUUUAAAGGCGUUAGUCAUCGAAUGAAAAAUGGAUAAAAAAAUUUUGGAAGCUUUCCAGACCCCGGUCAAAAUAUUCUAUUUCAUAUUAACUAAGGCAAAAGUCAAGUGGAGAUCGCCGGAAAAGGUUGUUCGAAGCAUAGGUGUCUGAAAAAUUACGAAGAUGCUGACUUAUUUGAGGAAUCCAAUUUCGGGCUACGAAUAUUCUUUCUGGCCAGAUGCGAAAUUCUUUUAUCACUACAAAAUAUAUCGCCCACUGAGCUUCCAUACAGAUUGGCCCAUAACCUCCAGGGAAUGGUAUCCGUACUACUGGCCUUCUCCGAGGUCUUAUUGGUAUUAUUUGAGCGACAGUCCAUCCGAACAAGCAUUCAGGGAUAUUAGACUAAGAAACGACUUGUACUUUGACCGAUGAUGAUAACCCUUCCACCGAAAUGUGACUGAAGAAAUCUUGUCGAUCGUCAGCAGCUGAAGAAAAUAAUUUUGCCAGUAUCUGUAAAUAUUUGAUACCUUAUGUGUUAAAUGGUUAAAUAAAUAUAUUUUGUAAAUUUCUUCGUA
Cylas formicarius (sweet potato weevil) is the source of this 572-nucleotide long non-coding RNA. RefSeq lists it as uncharacterized. The record is from RefSeq and is a predicted model, not a curated record. Lineage: Eukaryota; Metazoa; Arthropoda; Insecta; Coleoptera; Brentidae. The transcript has 4 exons.